GACGAACGCUGGCGGUGUGCUUAACACAUGCAAGUCGAGCGGUAAGGCUCCUUCGGGAGUACACGAGCGGCGAACGGGUGAGUAACACGUGAGUAAUCUGCCCUUCACUUCGGGAUAACCACCGGAAACGGUGGCUAAUACCGAAUACGACCAGUCUUCGCAUGAGGUGCUGGUGGAAAGUCUUUUCGGUGAAGGAUGUGCUCGCGGCCUAUCAGCUUGUUGGUGGGGUAAUGGCCUACCAAGGCUUCGACGGGUAGCCGGCCUGAGAGGGUGACCGGCCACACUGGGACUGAGACACGGCCCAGACUCCUACGGGAGGCAGCAGUGGGGAAUAUUGGACAAUGGGCGAAAGCCUGAUCCAGCAACGCCGCGUGAGGGAUGACGGCCUUCGGGUUGUAAACCUCUUUCAGUACCGACGAAGCGCCCUGUCGGGUGGUGACGGUAGGUACAGAAGAAGGACCGGCCAACUACGUG
This 474-nucleotide ribosomal RNA is filed under the name uncultured bacterium. RNAcentral's name for it is "partial 16S ribosomal RNA". It matches the Rfam family "Bacterial small subunit ribosomal RNA", at positions 28 to 507 of the family's 1533-position model. The record is from RNAcentral.